AACGCUGGCGGCAGGCCUAACACAUGCAAGUCGAGCGGUAGCACAGAGAGCUUGCUCUCGGGUGACGAGCGGCGGACGGGUGAGUAAUGUCUGGGAAACUGCCUGAUGGAGGGGGAUAACUACUGGAAACGGUAGCUAAUACCGCAUAAUGUCGCAAGACCAAAGUGGGGGACCUUCGGGCCUCAUGCCAUCAGAUGUGCCCAGAUGGGAUUAGCUAGUAGGUGGGGUAACGGCUCACCUAGGCGACGAUCCCUAGCUGGUCUGAGAGGAUGACCAGCCACACUGGAACUGAGACACGGUCCAGACUCCUACGGGAGGCAGCAGUGGGGAAUAUUGCACAAUGGGCGCAAGCCUGAUGCAGCCAUGCCGCGUGUGUGAAGAAGGCCUUCGGGUUGUAAAGCACUUUCAGCGGGGAGGAAGGCGGUAAGGUUAAUAACCUCAUCGAUUGACGUUACCCGCAGAAGAAGCACCGGCUAACUCCGUGCCAGCAGCCGCGGUAAUACGGAGGGUGCAAGCGUUAAUCGGAAUUACUGGGCGUAAAGCGCACGCAGGCGGUCUGUCAAGUCGGAUGUGAAAUCCCCGGGCUCAACCUGGGAACUGCAUUCGAAACUGGCAGGCUAGAGUCUUGUAGAGGGGGGUAGAAUUCCAGGUGUAGCGGUGAAAUGCGUAGAGAUCUGGAGGAAUACCGGUGGCGAAGGCGGCCCCCUGGACAAAGACUGACGCUCAGGUGCGAAAGCGUGGGGAGCAAACAGGAUUAGAUACCCUGGUAGUCCACGCCGUAAACGAUGUCGAUUUGGAGGUUGUGCCCUUGAGGCGUGGCUUCCGGAGCUAACGCGUUAAAUCGACCGCCUGGGGAGUACGGCCGCAAGGUUAAAACUCAAAUGAAUUGACGGGGGCCCGCACAAGCGGUGGAGCAUGUGGUUUAAUUCGAUGCAACGCGAAGAACCUUACCUGGUCUUGACAUCCACAGAACUUUCCAGAGAUGGAUUGGUGCCUUCGGGAACUGUGAGACAGGUGCUGCAUGGCUGUCGUCAGCUCGUGUUGUGAAAUGUUGGGUUAAGUCCCGCAACGAGCGCAACCCUUAUCCUUUGUUGCCAGCGGUCCGGCCGGGAACUCAAAGGAGACUGCCAGUGAUAAACUGGAGGAAGGUGGGGAUGACGUCAAGUCAUCAUGGCCCUUACGACCAGGGCUACACACGUGCUACAAUGGCAUAUACAAAGAGAAGCGACCUCGCGAGAGCAAGCGGACCUCAUAAAGUAUGUCGUAGUCCGGAUUGGAGUCUGCAACUCGACUCCAUGAAGUCGGAAUCGCUAGUAAUCGUAGAUCAGAAUGCUACGGUGAAUACGUUCCCGGGCCUUGUACACACCGCCCGUCACACCAUGGGAGUGGGUUGCAAAAGAAGUAGGUAGCUUAACCUUCGGGAGGGCGCUUACCACUUUGUGAUUCAUGACUGGGGUGAAGUCGUAACAAGGUAACCGUAGGGGAACCUGCGGCUGGA
This 1498-nucleotide ribosomal RNA is filed under the name Klebsiella sp. ok1_1_9_S7. RNAcentral's name for it is "bacterial SSU rRNA". It matches the Rfam family "Bacterial small subunit ribosomal RNA". Lineage: Bacteria; Pseudomonadati; Pseudomonadota; Gammaproteobacteria; Enterobacterales; Enterobacteriaceae. RNAcentral also lists the same sequence under 1 other name. The record is from RNAcentral.